GACGAACGCUGGCGGCGUGCUUAACACAUGCAAGUCGAACGGAAAGGCCCUGCUUUUGUGGGGUGCUCGAGUGGCGAACGGGUGAGUAACACGUGAGUAACCUGCCCUUGACUUUGGGAUAACUUCAGGAAACUGGGGCUAAUACCGGAUAGGAGCUCCUGCUGCAUGGCGGGGGUUGGAAAGUUUCGGCGGUUGGGGAUGGACUCGCGGCUUAUCAGCUUGUUGGUGGGGUAGUGGCUUACCAAGGCUUUGACGGGUAGCCGGCCUGAGAGGGUGCCCGGCCACAUUGGGACUGCGAUACGGCCCAGACUCCUACGGGAUGCAUCAGUGGAGAAUAUUGCACGAUGGGCGGAAGCCUGAUGCAGCAACGCCGCGUGCGGGAUGACGGCCUUCGGGUUGUAAACCGCUUUCGCCUGUGACGAAGCGUGAGUGACGGUAAUGGGUACAGAAGCACCGGCUAACUUCGUG
RNAcentral lists this ribosomal RNA (468 nucleotides) under uncultured bacterium. RNAcentral describes it as "partial 16S ribosomal RNA". It matches the Rfam family "Bacterial small subunit ribosomal RNA", at positions 28 to 507 of the family's 1533-position model. The record is from RNAcentral.